AUAAUUGAAUAAAGAUUUGGUGUUGGAUGAACAACAUAAUAGGGAAACUGGUGAAAAUCCAGUACUGUCCUCGCAACUGUAAGUGUGUACGAAAAGGAUUCCACUGUGUGUAUAACAUGGGAAGGACCUAGAGUAGGAAGAAGCACAAGUCAGUAGACCUGCCAGAUCUGUUCUUUUCCA
This 180-nucleotide non-coding RNA is filed under the name Pontibacillus litoralis. The record is from RNAcentral. Lineage: Bacteria; Bacillati; Bacillota; Bacilli; Caryophanales; Bacillaceae. RNAcentral also lists the same sequence under 1 other name.